CCUACGGGAGGCAGCAGUGGGGAAUUUUGGACAAUGGGCGCAAGCCUGAUCCAGCCAUGCCGCGUGAGUGAAGAAGGCCUUCGGGUUGUAAAGCUCUUUCGGUGAAGACGAAACGGUUAGCGCUAAUAACGCUGACUAAUGACGGACUCACAGACGGA
This 158-nucleotide ribosomal RNA is filed under the name uncultured bacterium. Its description in RNAcentral is "partial 16S ribosomal RNA". It matches the Rfam family "Bacterial small subunit ribosomal RNA", at positions 338 to 489 of the family's 1533-position model. The record is from RNAcentral.